This 69-nucleotide non-coding RNA is filed under the name Candidatus Scybalomonas excrementigallinarum. The record is from RNAcentral. Lineage: Bacteria; Bacillati; Bacillota; Clostridia; Lachnospirales; Lachnospiraceae.
AAUCGAAACACUCUCGAAUGGGAGUGUCGCACAGAGAUGACCACCUGUGCCUGAUGAUGAUAGGUCAAU